UUGGAGAGAGAGUUCAAGAGUACGUGAAACUGCUCAGAGGUAAACGGGUGGGCAUUCGAGAGAUCCUCUUGCGGAGAGAUUCAGUCCGGAGCGGCAGGGGCGGACGCGAGCGACGGAUCCUGGAACGAGGACGGUUCUCGCGACGCAGUCUCUGCCGUGCCGGACGCAUUUCUCUCCGCACUCUGGACGCCGCGACGGAUCGGGUAGCUGCGAGAGUCGGCCUUGCGACGGUUCCAGGCAGGUGAUCGGGCGACGGUUAUCGAUCCUGCGCCCGGUUAUUCACGGGACCGUUCGUGGCGCGACACCCGAUCGAGGUCUGAGUUUCCCGUGCGGGAAAUCGUCCGACUCCGUCUCCUUGACGCGGUGACUGGGCCAGUGAGCGCCGGCGAUGCCGAACCACUYGUCGUAGUGACCCGGCGCGACGGUGGCCGCCGUUGGGCUUCGGUCGACCGCUGGAGAAUCGGUGACGGUCGGCGGCGAUUGAUCGGUAACCCACCCGACCCGUCUUGAAACACGGACCAAGGAGUCUAACAUGUGCGCGAGUCGCAGGGUCUUGGACAGGCCCUCGGGCGCAAUGAAAGUGAAGGUCGGGACUCCCGUCCUCCGGGGCGGGAAGCACCGACGACCCGUCUCUUCCGACCCGUCGGUGGGGCGGAGUCAGAGCGCACACGUUGGGACCCGAAAGAUGGUGAACUAUGCCCGGGCAGAAUGAAGCCAGGGGAAACCCUGGUGGAGGUUCGCAGCGGUUCUGACG
This 754-nucleotide ribosomal RNA is filed under the name Mesabolivar eberhardi. RNAcentral describes it as "eukaryotic LSU rRNA". It matches the Rfam family "Eukaryotic large subunit ribosomal RNA", at positions 376 to 891 of the family's 3401-position model. Lineage: Eukaryota; Metazoa; Arthropoda; Arachnida; Araneae; Pholcidae. The record is from RNAcentral.